UAGCUAUGUACGGAAUGGAUAAGCGCUGAAAGCAUCUAAGCGCGAAGCCAACUUCAAGAUAAGAUUUCCCACCGCAAGGGUAAGACCCCAGAAAGACUAUCUGGUUGAUAGGUCGAAGGUGUAAGUGCAGCAAUGUAUUUAGCUUAUCGAUACUAAUAGGUCGAGGACUUGACCAAU
This 177-nucleotide ribosomal RNA is filed under the name Clostridioides difficile. RNAcentral describes it as "partial 23S ribosomal RNA". It matches the Rfam family "Bacterial large subunit ribosomal RNA", at positions 2746 to 2925 of the family's 2925-position model. The record is from RNAcentral. Lineage: Bacteria; Bacillati; Bacillota; Clostridia; Peptostreptococcales; Peptostreptococcaceae.